Cricetulus griseus (Chinese hamster) is the source of this 316-nucleotide non-coding RNA. Lineage: Eukaryota; Metazoa; Chordata; Mammalia; Rodentia; Cricetidae. The record is from RefSeq and is a predicted model, not a curated record.
UUCCCAAGUGCUAGGAUUAAAGGCAUGAGCCGCCACUACCCAGCUCUCAUUGCUUCUCCUUAACAGUCUUCCUAGUUACGAGGUCACCUCCACAAAGUACACACGUGAUAUUUACAAAGAGCUCCUCAUCUCCUUGGUGGCCUCACUCUUCAUGGGCUUUGGAGUCCUCUUCCUCCUGCUCUGGGUUGGCAUCUAUGUAUGAGUUCCCAAGGGUACCCACCAGGCAGCUUCACCAAGUCCCUGCUUUUGUAAAUUAAUUUUUUACAUUGCUACAAGUAUCCCACCUGCUGUUUACAAUAAAGGCAGAUGUGUGACA